RNAcentral lists this unclassified non-coding RNA (350 nucleotides) under soil metagenome. RNAcentral describes it as "partial contains 5.8S ribosomal RNA, internal transcribed spacer 2, and large subunit ribosomal RNA". The stretch from base 1 to 120 matches the Rfam family "5.8S ribosomal RNA", at positions 35 to 154 of the family's 154-position model. The record is from RNAcentral.
GAUGAAGAACGUAGCGAAAUGCGAUAAGUAAUGUGAAUUGCAGAAUUCCGUGAAUCAUCGAAUCUUUGAACGCACAUUGCGCCCCCUGGCAUUCCGGGGGGCAUGCCUGUCCGAGCGUCAUUUCUGCCCUCAAGCCCGGCUUGUGUGUUGGGCGUGGUCCCCCCGGUUUAGGGGGGACCUGCCCGAAAGGCAGCGGCGACGUUCCGCCUAGGUCCUCGAGCGUAUGGGGCUUUGUCACCCGCUCGGGAGGGGCCUACGGGCGUUGGCCAUCCACCAUUUUUUUUUUUACGGUUGACCUCGGAUCAGGUAGGAGUUGCCCGCUGAACUUAAGCAUAUCAAUAAGCGGAGGA